UCCCGUUUCUGUCUGUCCUGGGUCAGACCUCUCCCAGCCCUUAUAUAGGCUAUGGUCGCCUAUCCCGGAGUGCCACGUGGACAUUGUCCAUAGGCUCAAGCAUACGCAAGCGACACAGGAUCAUAGCAGGUCACAGGCCAUCACCAUAAAAGGAGUUGUUUAUCACAGAGAGCGCUUGCUUUCGGGCUUGCGGCUGGCAGCAGUCUGCGCCAUCUUAAAGGCGGCUCCACGCAGCUCUCUACAGUAUCCCUUUCAUUUCUCGUCUAAUUACUUUAGCUAAGACUUCAGACACUAUAAAGGGCAAGAAUGGAAAAGGUUUCCCGCUCUUUGUGAUGAGGCGUGGUGGAGGGCACAGGGAGGAGGAAGGACGGAUGGAUGGACGACUAUGACAACGACUCUGGAGUUUAGAGAUGUGAUUGCACUGAACUUUCUGCUUGUUUGUUCCGGUACAGACAGGAAGUGAUGUGCAACUAGGGCCUGGAGUGGCUUCCAGCAUUUGCUGCACUCAGCUUGGGUCUCUGUUGUACACAUAUUGGGGGUUUGCCUCCGGAGCUUUUUCUUUUUUUCCAUUCAUUUGUGGAUCCAGAGUGGAAGGCGAGACUCUCUCCCUCUGCGGUCGGCCUGUUCAGUGCUCUCCGUUAAAGCCCGUGGCCCCUUUUAUAAAGCUAACGAUGGUCUCCUGUGA
This is a long non-coding RNA of Myodes glareolus (Bank vole), 685 nucleotides long. RefSeq lists it as uncharacterized. NCBI's taxonomy places the organism in Eukaryota, Metazoa, Chordata, Mammalia, Rodentia, Cricetidae. The record is from RefSeq and is a predicted model, not a curated record.